GACGAACGCUGGCGGCGUGCUUAACACAUGCAAGUCGAACGGACAGGCCCUGCUUUUGUGGGGUGCUCGAUUGGCGAACGGGUGUGUAACACGUGUGUAACACGCCCCUGUCUUUGGGAUAACUCCAGGAAACUGGGGCUAAUACCGCAGAGGAGCUCCUGCUGCACGGGGGGGGUUGGUGAGUUUCGGCGGUUGGGGAUGGACUGGCGGCAUAUCGGCUUGUUGGUCGGGUAGUGGCUUACCAAGGCUGCGACGGGUAGGCGGCCUGAGAGGUGGGCCGGCGACAUGAGGACUGAGAGACGGACCAGACUCCUACGGGAGGCAGCGGGGGAGAAUCUUGCGGAAUGGCGGGAAGCGUGAUGCAGCAACGUUGCGUGCGUGAUGACGGCCUACGAGUUGUAAACCGCUGUCGCCGGUGACGAAGACUGAGUGACGGUAAUGGGUAAAGAAGCACCGGCUAACUACGUG
RNAcentral lists this ribosomal RNA (468 nucleotides) under uncultured bacterium. RNAcentral's name for it is "partial 16S ribosomal RNA". It matches the Rfam family "Bacterial small subunit ribosomal RNA", at positions 28 to 507 of the family's 1533-position model. The record is from RNAcentral.